Pongo pygmaeus (Bornean orangutan) is the source of this 399-nucleotide long non-coding RNA. RefSeq lists it as uncharacterized. Lineage: Eukaryota; Metazoa; Chordata; Mammalia; Primates; Hominidae. The record is from RefSeq and is a predicted model, not a curated record. The transcript has 4 exons.
GUGAGGGUGUGACGGAGGUGCCCACGUGCCCGGCCCGCCCGUGUUACGGCCGCCUACCGGCUGCAGAGGAGAAGGGAGGAAAGAGUGGAAUCUCAACACAAGUGGUAGGCAACUUUGAAAACAAUAAAUAGAUGAAGAAUGGAGCGACCCCAAAAGGAGAGUCUGGGAACCCUAGCCAAAGGGUCUGGCUCUGUCAUCCAGACUGGAAUGCAGUGUUGGAGUCACAGCUCACUGCAGCCUCAACCUCUCAGGCUCAAGUGAACCUCUCACCCCGGCUUCCCAGACACAUGCUACCAUGUGGCCCUCCCUACUCAACCUCAGUAUAUCUUUACUGAAAAACACAUGCCAAAGAACAACACCUAGAGAGCUGGAAACCCUGGAAAAGAUUUUGUGAUGCCC